UACGGGGGGAGCAAGCGUUGUUCGGAUUUACUGGGCGUAAAGGGCGCGUAGGCGGCCACGACAAGUCACUUGUGAAAUCUCCGGGCUUAACUCGGAACGGUCAAGUGAUACUGUCGGGCUAGAGUGCAGAAGGGGCAACUGGAAUUCUCGGUGUAGCGGUGAAAUGCGUAGAUAUCGGGAGGAACACCAGUGGCGAAGGCGACUUCCUGGCCUGUUCUUGACGCUGAGGCGCGAAAGCUAGGGGAGCAAACGGG
This 254-nucleotide ribosomal RNA is filed under the name uncultured bacterium. RNAcentral's name for it is "partial 16S ribosomal RNA". It matches the Rfam family "Bacterial small subunit ribosomal RNA", at positions 524 to 776 of the family's 1533-position model. The record is from RNAcentral.